Molecule: long non-coding RNA, 976 nt
Organism: Eriocheir sinensis (Chinese mitten crab)
Lineage: Eukaryota; Metazoa; Arthropoda; Malacostraca; Decapoda; Varunidae
Exons: 2
Source: RefSeq, a predicted model, not a curated record
UAAGUACAACAUUUAAGUAAUUUUUGAAUGCAUAAAAACACCAAGCUUUAGUAAUUCUUGGUCAGAACCAUGUUAUAUGCUCUUGCGCUCUAUCAAGCUUGGGCCAGCUGGUACAUCCCGCCAGUUUCAGUAAAUAAUUAUUCCAUUGCAGGCAUUUGCGGCAUAUCUGGAACUCCUCGAUCUUGUGGGUCAAGUUGAGGAGGUGAGGCUUCCCAGAGUUGUUCCCAGAGACCGGCAAAACCCAUUCACCUGUCUCUCUGAGGAGGACUUCAUAGAUCGCUACCGUCUCUCACCAGCUUGCACACUCCAACUGCUUGAGAAUGUACAGCCCCAACUACCCAGAGCACGAGAUGGCAGAGGCUGCAGUGUUCCUGGUCACCUGCAGCUUCUUGUAGCAUUACGCUACUUUGCCAGCGGGAACUUCCAGUUAACCAUGGCAGACUGUUUGGAGAUGUCUGCUUCUUCAGUCUGCAAAUUUGUUCACCGCAUAGCUGUUAUACUAGCACGCAUGUCACCUAAUUACAUCAAGUUUCCUGAACCUGCCAAUACACGUCAGGUAGCAGAGGACUUUCAUGCUGUCGCUGGCAUGCCUGGUGUCAUCGGCUGUAUUGAUGGAACAUUGAUUCCAAUUGUGAGUCCUGGCGGAGACACUGCAGAAUUAUACCGCUGUAGGAAGGGUUACCUCGCCCUAAAUGUCAUGGCAGUUUGCGAUGAAAAAAUGCGUUUCACUAAUGUCAUUAGUGGUUGGCCAGGAAGUGUCCAUGACAGCCGCAUUUUUGAUAAUUCUAGGCUUUGUCAGAAAUUAGAAUAUGAAGGUUACUCAGGUUAUCUUUUGGGAGAUUCAGGGUACGCAUGCAAGUCUUACUUGUUGACUCCGGCACUGGAUCCCCAAACUGAACAAGAAAACAGAUAUAAUGCAUCACAUAUACGCACACGCAACACUGGAGGAAUCUGACAAAUAAAUAUUAUUUUUGUA